This 253-nucleotide ribosomal RNA is filed under the name Anaerotignum lactatifermentans. RNAcentral's name for it is "partial 16S ribosomal RNA". It matches the Rfam family "Bacterial small subunit ribosomal RNA", at positions 524 to 776 of the family's 1533-position model. Lineage: Bacteria; Bacillati; Bacillota; Clostridia; Lachnospirales; Anaerotignaceae. The record is from RNAcentral.
UACGUAGGGGGCAAGCGUUAUCCGGAAUUACUGGGUGUAAAGGGAGAGUAGGCGGCAUGGUAAGUAAGAUGUGAAAGCCCCGGGCUUAACCUGGGGAUUGCAUUUUAAACUAUCAAGCUAGAGUACAGGAGAGGAAAGCGGAAUUCCUAGUGUAGCGGUGAAAUGCGUAGAUAUUAGGAAGAACACCAGUGGCGAAGGCGGCUUUCUGGACUGAAACUGACGCUGAGGCUCGAAAGCGUGGGGAGCAAACAGG